CGGGAAAUGGCUCAGCUUGGUAGAGCGCUGCGUUCGGGACGCAGAGGUCGCAAGUUCAAAUCUUGUUUUCCCGA
Molecule: transfer RNA, 74 nt
Filed under: Lactobacillus sp.
Lineage: Bacteria; Bacillati; Bacillota; Bacilli; Lactobacillales; Lactobacillaceae
Also listed under: 2 other names
Description: tRNA-Pro
Rfam family: tRNA
About the family: Transfer RNA (tRNA) molecules are approximately 80 nucleotides in length. Their secondary structure includes four short double-helical elements and three loops (D, anti-codon, and T loops).
Source: RNAcentral